GCGGAAACGAGUUAUCUGAACCUUCGGGGAACGAUAACGGCGUCGAGCGGCGGACGGGUGAGUAAUGCCUAGGAAAUUGCCCUGAUGUGGGGGAUAACCAUUGGAAACGAUGGCUAAUACCGCAUGAUGCCUACGGGCCAAAGAGGGGGACCUUCGGGCCUCUCGCGUCAGGAUAUGCCUAGGUGGGAUUAGCUAGUUGGUGAGGUAAGGGCUCACCAAGGCGACGAUCCCUAGCUGGUCUGAGAGGAUGAUCAGCCACACUGGAACUGAGACACGGUCCAGACUCCUACGGGAGGCAGCAGUGGGGAAUAUUGCACAAUGGGCGCAAGCCUGAUGCAGCCAUGCCGCGUGUGUGAAGAAGGCCUUCGGGUUGUAAAGCACUUUCAGUCGUGAGGAAGGUGGUGUAGUUAAUAGCUGCAUUAUUUGACGUUAGCGACAGAAGAAGCACCGGCUAACUCCGUGCCAGCAGCCGCGGUAAUACGGAGGGUGCGAGCGUUAAUCGGAAUUACUGGGCGUAAAGCGCAUGCAGGUGGUUUGUUAAGUCAGAUGUGAAAGCCCGGGGCUCAACCUCGGAAUAGCAUUUGAAACUGGCAGACUAGAGUACUGUAGAGGGGGGUAGAAUUUCAGGUGUAGCGGUGAA
Molecule: ribosomal RNA, 640 nt
Filed under: Vibrio sp.
Lineage: Bacteria; Pseudomonadati; Pseudomonadota; Gammaproteobacteria; Vibrionales; Vibrionaceae
Description: bacterial SSU rRNA
Rfam family: Bacterial small subunit ribosomal RNA
Source: RNAcentral